Molecule: unclassified non-coding RNA, 337 nt
Filed under: soil metagenome
Description: partial contains 5.8S ribosomal RNA, internal transcribed spacer 2, and large subunit ribosomal RNA
Rfam family: 5.8S ribosomal RNA (bases 1-120)
Source: RNAcentral
GAUGAAGAACGCAGCGAAAUGCGAUAAGUAGUGUGAAUUGCAGAAUUCAGUGAAUCAUCGAAUCUUUGAACGCACAUUGCGCCCCUUGGUAUUCCAUGGGGCAUGCCUGUUCGAGCGUCAUCUACACCCUCAAGCUCUGCUUGGUGUUGGGCGUCUGUCCCGCCUUUGCGCGUGGACUCGCCCCAAAUUCACUGGCAGCGGUCCUUGCCUCCUCUCGCGCAGCACAUUUGCGCUUCUCGAGGUGCGCGGGCCGCGUCCACGAAGCAACUAUUACCGUCUUUGACCUCGGAUCAGGUAGGGAUACCCGCUGAACUUAAGCAUAUCAAUAAGCGGAGGA